GACGAACGCUGGCGGCGUGCUUAACACAUGCAAGUCGAACGAAGAGCGAUGGAAGCUUGCUUCUAUCAAUCUUAGUGGCGAACGGGUGAGUAACGCGUAAUCAACCUGCCCUUCAGAGGGGGACAACAGAUGGAAACGACUGCUAAUACCGCAUACGAUCUAAUCUCGGCAUCGAGGAUAGAUGAAAGGUGGCCUCUACAUGUAAGCUAUCACUGAAGGAGGGGAUUGCGUCUGAUUAGCUAGUUGGAGGGGUAACGGCCCACCAAGGCGAUGAUCAGUAGCCGGUCUGAGAGGAUGAACGGCCACAUUGGGACUGAGACACGGCCCAGACUCCUACGGGAGGCAGCAGUGGGGAAUCUUCCGCAAUGGACGAAAGUCUGACGGAGCAACGCCGCGUGAGUGAUGACGGCCUUCGGGUUGUAAAGCUCUGUUAAUCGGGACGAAAGGCCUUCUUGCGAAUAGUGAGAAGGAUUGACGGUACCGGAAUAGAAAGCCACGGCUAACUACGUG
RNAcentral lists this ribosomal RNA (510 nucleotides) under uncultured bacterium. RNAcentral describes it as "partial 16S ribosomal RNA". It matches the Rfam family "Bacterial small subunit ribosomal RNA", at positions 28 to 507 of the family's 1533-position model. The record is from RNAcentral.